Molecule: ribosomal RNA, 443 nt
Filed under: uncultured soil bacterium
Lineage: Bacteria
Description: bacterial SSU rRNA
Rfam family: Bacterial small subunit ribosomal RNA
Source: RNAcentral
AGAACGAACGCUGGCGGCAUGCCUAACACAUGCAAGUCGAACGAGACCUUCGGGUCUAGUGGCGCACGGGUGCGUAACGCGUGGGAAUCUGCCCUUGGGUUCGGGAUAACAGUUGGAGACGACUGCUAAUACCGGAUGAUAUCUUCGGAUCAAAGAUUUAUCGCCCAGGGAUGAGCCCGCGUAGGAUUAGCUUGGUGGUGAGGUAAGAGCUCACCAAGGCGACGAUCCUUAGCUGGUCUGAGAGGAUGAUCAGCCACACUGGGACUGAGACACGGCCCAGACUCCUACGGGAGGCAGCAGUGGGAAUAUGGACAAUGGGCGAAAGCCUGAUCCAGCAGUGCCGCGUGAGUGAUGAAGGCCUUAGGGUUGUAAAGCUCGUUUACCCGGAUGAUAAUGACAGUACCGGAGAAUAAGCCCCGGAUAACGUCCGUGCCAGCAGCCGA